AUGUAAAAUUAAAACGGAAAAAAUAAACAGUCUGUCCCCCUCCCACUACCUGCUCUUUCUUUCCAUCCUCCCUUUUUCCAUAACUUUUCACAUUUAUUAUUAUUCCAAUCAAACCGUUGAAUUCAUCAUCAAACAGCAGCUAGGGUUUCCAAAUUCAUGAACUAAAAAUAGCAUGAAAAGCCUCUUGAAAAAGCUACACAUCCGAUCAAAUCAAUCAUCAUCACCGAAUGAGCUGAACAAACCCUUGUCUUCGAUCACCGGGUGGCUUAAGCGAAGUCAAACUCAAAGCCCUAAGUCAACGGGAGGGGUUGACCAGGAGGAAGUGGGGGUAGAGGAAGAGUAUCAGAUUCAAUUGGCGUUGGAGUUGAGUGCUAAGGAGGAUCCGGAGGCUGUUCAGAUUGAAGCUGUUAAGGAGAUUAGCUUGGGGUCUAGUGAUCCGCUUGCCGCUCGUUAUUGGAAUUACAGUGCUCUUAGCUAUGAUGACAAGAUUGUUGAUGGUUUCUAUGAUCUGUACGGGGUGUUGUCGGGACCCACAUCUUCAAAGAUGCCUUCCCUGGUGGAUUUACAAUCUACACCCGUGUCAGAUAAUGUUACAUGGGAAGCGGUUCUUGUUAAUAAGGCUACAGAUUCUAAGCUUUUAGAACUCGAACAGAUGGCCCUAGAGAUGGCUGUCAAGUUGAUGUCUGAAUCUAUUGAUUCUGCUGGGCAGAAUUUGGUGCAGAGACUUGCGGUUUUAGUUUCUGAUCACAUGGGGGGCCCGGUUAGAAAUCCAGAAAAUAUGGUGAUAGCUUGGAGAGAAUUUAGCUCACGAUUAAAGGGAACUAUUGGAAGCAUGGUUUUGCCUCUUGGCUCGUUAAAAAUUGGAUUGGCCCGUCAUCGGGCGUUGCUUUUUAAGGUUUUGGCUGAUAGUGUGGGCAUCCCUUGCUGCUUAGUGAAAGGGAAGCAAUACACUGGUUCCGACAAAGUUGCAGUGAAUUUUAUAAAACUUGGUGAUGGCAGGGAAUAUAUUGUUGACUUGAUGGCGGAUCCCGGAACUAUCAUUCCAUCUGACACGCCAAGAGGAUCAAACGUAGACUAUGAAGAAUCUUGUUCAUCGAGCCCAUGGUCCCGAGAUGAAGAUUCUUCUUAUCUUGCUUCCUCCACAAGCGGCCUCACCACUUCAUCUGUAGAUUACAUGGAAAACAAUAACACACAUUCAUCACAACCAAACAAAUCUGUAUUAGAACCCAAGAUAUCCUUACCCCAGGUUCCAAAAAAAGUGUAUAAAGAUAAAGGAGGAAACUCACAAUACGCGCAUGCAAGAUCCCCUUCAUGGACUGAGGGCGUAAGUACCCCUGCGGUACGUAAAAUGAAGGUAAACGAUGUUUCACAGUACAUGAUGGAAGCUGCUAAAGAAAACCCCCAGUUAGCACAGAAACUACACGAUGUGUUACUUGAAAGUGGCGUUGUUGCUCCUCCAGACCUCUUUACCGAAGUAUAUGAAGAGGAAUUAUCAAAAAGUACUACGGAAAGUCAAAGUCAAACUCAUUCAAGUCAGCCUCGCUUCUUGCCUCCAUUGCCGCCUCCACAAAGAGCUUCUUCACGAUCUGAAGUAAAUCUUCCAGCUGCAGCGGCAGCCGCUGCAGCUGCUGUUGCGGUUGCUUCCUCGAUGGUGGUGAAUGCCACCAAAACCGUAACGGACCAAAAUAUACAACUACCUGUAGCAGCUGCAGCCACGGUGACGGCGGCAGUUAUGGUGGCCGCAACAACAACUUCUGCUGCAAAGCAGUACGAGAUAUCUGGUCAGUCACAAAUUGAAAAUUUAAAUGAUAACGAAAGGGAUAGGAGGAAUACGGAAGCACAAUAUGAGAUAGGUCAAGAUGGGGAGAGAAUAUCAGAUAGGUCAACCGGUAACGAAAGCACAGUGUCUGAAGUAUCACUCGAGGAUGUAGCAGAUUGUGAAAUAGCAUGGGAGGAUAUCACAUUGGGUGAACGUAUCGGAUUGGGGUCAUAUGGGGAGGUAUACCGUGGGGACUGGCAUGGAACUGAUGUUGCUGUUAAGAAGUUUCUAGACCAAGAAAUAACUACUGAAUCCCUUGAGGAAUUCAGAAGUGAGGUCAGGAUCAUGAAAAAAGUAAGACAUCCGAAUGUUGUACUCUUCAUGGGGGCUGUAACACGUGCACCACAUCUUUCAAUUGUUACCGAAUUUCUUCCUAGAGGUAGUUUAUAUAGAUUACUCCAUCGGCCCAACAACCAACUAGAUAUUCGAAGGCGCUUGAGGAUGGCUCUUGAUACUGCUCGCGGUAUGAACUAUUUGCACAAUUGCACACCUGUUAUCGUUCACCGUGAUUUAAAGACUCCUAAUCUCCUUGUUGAUAAGAAUUGGGUUGUGAAGGUUUCUGAUUUUGGGUUGUCGAGAAUGAAGUACAGCACGUUUCUUUCUACAAGAUCUACUGCUGGAACAGUAUGUAUUAUCUAUCUAGUAUAUGAUGGAGAAAAUGAAUCGACCACAAAUUAGAAGUGGCAAAAUGGGCAACUUAUAGUGCAGAUCAAAGCGGGUCAAUGUGAAGCAUCUUUUGUCCAGAAAAAAAGCUGAGUGGAUGGCUCCAGAAGUCCUAAGAAACGAACCCUCAGAUGAAAAGAGCGAUGUUUAUAGCUUUGGCGUGGUUUUAUGGGAACUUUGCACGUUGCAACAACCAUGGGGCGGAAUGAACCCAAUGCAAGUUGUUGGUGCAGUUGGGUUUCAACAUCGUCGUCUUGAAAUUCCAGAUGACAUGAGCCCCGUCAUUGCAGAUAUCAUCACAAAUUGUUGGCAAACUGACCCAAAACUACGGCCUACAUUUGCUGACAUCAUGGCGUCCUUGAAGCCUCUUCAGAAGUUGAAUACAAUUUCCAGAACAGUGUAAGGACCAAUUGGAUCGUAUAAUGUAACAACAGCAAGCUGGGCAAAGUGUCUGCACUCGUAAUCUGUGAAUAAUUAAGUCAUUUAAACGAUAUAUAUGUGAGGAGGCUGUUGUUUGAAUAUAGCGAUGAAAACAUGCAUGUUUCAAGGGAUUCUGAUUCUUCUGUAUUCUUCCUAUAUAGUUAUUUUCAUGUAGCUAUAGGCUUUGGUCAUGUGACCAUCUCAAUUUUCUGUUUUGCUUUGUUGUAAAUUCAUGUUGUAUCCUGGUCAUAGUUACAUGUUUAUACACACUCGCGAUGUGUUGGUAUGUCACACUGCAAUUGAAACAAAGAUUUUGUGAA
Molecule: RNA transcript, 3222 nt
Organism: Helianthus annuus (common sunflower)
Lineage: Eukaryota; Viridiplantae; Streptophyta; Magnoliopsida; Asterales; Asteraceae
Gene name: probable serine/threonine-protein kinase SIS8
Exons: 13
Source: RefSeq, a predicted model, not a curated record